GUGGGGAAUUUUGGACAAUGGGCGAAAGCCUGAUCCAGCGACGCCGCGUGAGUGAUGAAGGCCUUCGGGUUGUAAAGCUCUGUCGGAGGGAACGAAUGAGAACGACCUAAUACGUCGUUCUUUGACGGUACUCUCAAAGGAAGCACCGGCUAACUCUGUGCCAGCAGCCGCGGUAAGACAGAGGGUGCAAGCGUUGUUCGGAAUUACUGGGCGUAAAGGGCGUGUAGGCGGCGGAGUGUGUCCGGCGUGAAAUACCUCGGCUUAACCGGGGAAGUGCACUGGAUACUACUUUGCUUGAGUACGAGAGAGGGUGGCGGAAUUCUCAGUGUAGAGGUGAAAUUCGUAGAUACUGGGAGGAACACCGGAGGCGAAGGCGGCCACCUGGAUCGUUACUGACGCUGAUACGCGAAAGCGUGGGGAGCAAACAGGAUUAGAUACCCUUGUAGUCC
RNAcentral lists this ribosomal RNA (449 nucleotides) under uncultured bacterium. RNAcentral describes it as "bacterial SSU rRNA". It matches the Rfam family "Bacterial small subunit ribosomal RNA", at positions 354 to 796 of the family's 1533-position model. The record is from RNAcentral.